Molecule: ribosomal RNA, 497 nt
Filed under: uncultured bacterium
Lineage: Bacteria
Description: partial 16S ribosomal RNA
Rfam family: Bacterial small subunit ribosomal RNA (bases 51-497)
Source: RNAcentral
GGGGGGGGGGGGGGGGGGGGGGGGGGGGGGGGGGGGGGGGGGGGGGGGGGGGGGCUUGCGCUGCUGGGGUGGGUGGGGAGCGGGUGGGUGACGCGGAGGUAAGCUGCCUUGUGGCGGGGGGUGACUAUUGGACGCGAUAGCUAAUACCGCCUAACAAUGGAUGACACAUAUCAUUUAUUUGAAAGGGGCACUUGCUCCGCUACAAGAUGGACCUGCGUUGUAUUAGCUAGUAGGUGAGGUAAUGGCUCACCUAGUCGACGAUACAUAGCCGGCCUGAGAGGGUGAUCGGCCAGACUGGGACUGAGAAAGGGCCCAGACUCCUACGGGAGGCAGCAGUAGGGAAUCUUCGGCAAGAGGGGGAAUCCUGAACGAGCAACGCCGCGUGAGUGAAGAAGGGUUUCGGAUCGUAAAGCUCUGUUGUAAGUCAAGAACGGGUGUGAGAGUGGAAAGUUCACACUGUGACGGUAGCUUACCAGAAAGGGACGGCUAACUACGUG